Lactuca sativa (garden lettuce) is the source of this 5428-nucleotide non-coding RNA. The record is from RefSeq and is a predicted model, not a curated record. NCBI's taxonomy places the organism in Eukaryota, Viridiplantae, Streptophyta, Magnoliopsida, Asterales, Asteraceae.
UCCCUAAAAUUUUGAGAACUCGCCUUGUUUUUUCUAUCUUCUAUCUAUUUUUCAUCCUUGAAAUCCACUCUCCCCACUAUGAUACUUUCUCCUCUAGAUCUCCCUUCAUUCUCUACCUCCUGUCUCUCUGUAAACCUCGAAGGUGAAUCGUAAUUGAUCUGCGAGGUCUCCUUCUUUUUCUUUGUUUUCUCAGAUGUAGCACAUUCCAAACUGGGGAUUUAACCAAACCCGAUAGAGCCAUUGACGGAAUCCUUGGAUUCAAUCAACAAGGACUCUCUGUAAUCGUGCAACUUUCUUCACAAGGGAUCGCUCCAGGUCUUCAAUCUAUCAAUCUACAAUGGCCAUUGUCAAGUUACAUCAAAUCAAGGUCUAGUGUUUCAAAUGCUUCAAGUUCUUCCCAAAUAACUUCCCCUCCCAAGAUGAUUUUCCUCAAUUUUCUAUCGAACUUAGUAGCUGUUGAAUCGGUGCAUGUCUGUGUGAAGAACCUGCCCCGAGAUCUGUUACAUUUAUGAAUGAGGAAGAUUUGGUAAGUUAACUCACUCGAUCUUCUACCACUCUCGUGUUUUCAACACAUAAAACACAGACAAACCUUGAAGAGAAAUUUCAAGUUUUUAAAUAAGAAUCCUCAAAAACCAUCGUGAUUUCAAAUGAAACCCCUCCCCUUAGAGUCCAGACGCUUCUUCUCUGUCGAUAGCACAUAAAAUCUUGGUUUUCUAUUGUUUCUAUCGACCAGAGACUUUCAAUGGAGAAUACAAAACCUGGAAAGAAAGACUCAGAUGCCUAGAAAUUCAAGGGCGUAAACAAAGUUUUUCGAUCUAUGAUCAUCUCUCUCUCUCUCUCUCUUGCUUCAUCUACUCUGUUUUAUUGUGUUCUUCUGAUAUGAUAAUCAACAAUCUUUUUUCUCUAUAAGAUAGUCGAUCCAAGUGACCAAAGGGAUGGUGACCAAUUAUAUUGGGAUAUUCAAAACCUUUUGUUUGGUAACACUUCACCUGACUACUUACCCUUGGAGUUUAGGGCUCUAAAAGUUUCUCUUGAGGUUGUUUGUACAUUUCUGCUGGAGGUGAUGGAGCUGGUAACAGCAAUGGAGCUUCACGAGCACUUGUAAAGGAUAGGUUUUUCUUUUCAACUAUCUAUUAUAUCUAUAAAAAAGAAUUAAAAUUUUGGUUGAUAUAUAAACUGAAAUGUGGUGGUUUAACAUUAGGUUGAAGAUCUUCAAUGUUCAUUUUGAAGAGCUUCAUCAAAGACAAUCUCAAUGGAAAAUUGUUUAUUGAUUACAUAACAGUGCUAUCCAGCUGAAAAAAUAAACUAAACCCUAGUUCCUCUAGAACUCAAUUUCAUGUCCUAGAAGUUAUCAUGAUGUUAUUGGCAGCUGAAACCAGUUCAGUGAAUUGAAAAGCUAGAGAGAAAAGGGAGGAAAAAGCCAUGGAAGGGGAUGACAGGGAUGUAAUGUUGGCAUGCAUAAUACGGGAACCCUUUUCACUUUCUUGGGGUUGGCUUCUUUUGCGAUACUUUGAGUUGUUAAUUGGCAGCCAUGGCGGAUAUACAGGUACUUCUUCCUUAUUUCCUGUUUUGUUAACCAGUUUUUGUCGUUAUGGGUUCUCAUUUGAAGCAAUGGAGAAUUCAAUAGCUUUCUUUGACUAUUGUUUCUUUAUCAGUGGUCUACAAGAUCACCUCAUGUUACAUUCUUCAGCUAAACAGAACUUGAAAGUUAAAAAAAAGGAAGAUUUGGAAAUUGGAUAUAUAAGUAUAUAACAUUACAUUUUGAACCUCUUAAAUGUUCAACCAUAAGUAGGAAACUUUUGAUUAACAUGCCUUAAGUUAUUAAUCAGUUGGUUUCAAUUUGUUCAUUUUGAACCUCUUAAAAGUUAUCACCUAACACUUUCUGUUAUUAUUGUUAUAUUUGCUCAGUUGGAACUUUGCUAGAAAAUGGCCAAGUUUCCCCCAAGGCCCUCAAUUGGGAAUACUAUGCGGUUUUCUAUCCCUCUGUGUAUGGCUUGUUGUCAUUUCUCCAGUUGUAGUUCUUAUCACAUGGGGAUGUUGCUUAAUCUUAAUACUUGGUAGAGAUAUUAUUAGUUUAGUAGUAAUUAUGGCUGGAACUGCUCUUCUUUUGGCAUUCUAUUCCAUAAUGCUAUGGCGGCAAACACAGCAUUACCUGAUGCCCUUUUCCCUUCGGUGCUUGGUAGGAAAAUUGUUAUUAGUCAAGCUCUAUCCAAGGUAUAUUAUUUUGUCAUGUACUUGGUCUAAUGUAUGAAAGAAUGGGACAACCACAAAAAGGUAAAAUGUUGAUGACUUGAUUCUUCCCCAUUCUUUCCUUAUUUAUAUGUUAACAUUGCACUAAACUUUCUGAUUCACAAGUUAUGGUAGUCUCCAUAAUUCGGUCCAUUUUUUUUCAAAUGUCUUGAUCCUUCGUGUGUCGUUGCAAAAUUAAUCAAUUCCUAUAAAUAAAAGUUGCACCGAGUCAACCUGGUACCCACCUAAGUACAUCGAAGCCUCCGUCAUUUUAGAUUUUUUUUAAUAAAAAAAGAAGAGAGAGAGAGAGAGAGAGAGAGAGAGAGAGAGAGAGAGAGAGAGAGAAUACUUCUAGAAGUAAUCUAGAAUGAGGCACUUGUGGGACAGCUGCUAUUAGUAAAUUCAUUGCAGCAUCUGCACUACUAGUGAUCUACAAACAUGCAACAAAUAUGAUAAUAAAAAAUUGAUAUAACAAUGCUUCAUGAAGCAUUUAUUUCUAGAAAUCACAAUAAUCAGUUAUAAAUAAAUUUAUAUAAGUGUUAGAAAUGCAAUGCAUACCAAGUAAUUGAGGCGGAAAAAGUGAAUAUAAAGAAUAGGGAUAAUAUGCUCUUCUCCUUUUCUGUUGUCGUUUUGAGUGCUUUUUUUUAUAAAUGUCCAAAGCUGUAUCCAAAUUUCCCUGUUUAUUAUAAAAUAUAAAGUCAGUUUUUUGCUACAAAUGCAAAUAAAAUAAUAGUCAUGAUUGAUGAUUGAUUAUGUUUACCAGACGUUGCUCCAUAUUAGCCUCUUUUAUUGUGGUUUCAAUGAAAGAUGAAUCAUAUUCAAAAGUAUCACAAAGCUGAAAUGCAGCACGAGCUCCUUCAAUAUCUCCUAUUUUCUCUUUAUAUCUUGCAUUCAAAAUAUGUACCUCUGAUACAUCCUGUAUAUCAAAAUAUAUACAAGAAAUGUGAAAAGAUUUCUAAUCCUUAUAAAAUUAAACUUACUUUGCAUCUGAUGUAUAUUUCUGUUUGGUUUGUAAAUCUGCCAAAGGAAUUGGAUUUUGGAAUAUAAACAAGAGUAAAUUACACGAUUAGUCCCUAUAGUUUGGGGUAAUUUAUGUGGUGAUGAAGAUAUUGAAAGGCCAGAUUUGCUUUCUUUGGUUCAAACUCAUCAUGCACAGGUGCAUGCAUUAUUACAUAUUUACUCUCCUGCACUCGAUGGGUGGAUUGCUAGUAUCAUGUUUCAUAUCACUCCAUUUUGAUGUAUGUACAUACAACCAUUGGAUGUCUUUUGCCAUUUUGAUGUAUGCACAUACAACCAUUGAAUGUCUUCUUUCUAAACAUGAUUCCCAAUUUAUCUUUUUUGUUUUUCUUAUUUUGGGUAUUUUUUUCCUUAUUUUCUUUGGUUAUAAUCUUUAUAGGUGCAGAAGGAUGACAUGAUUCUUGAUUCAUUGGUGCUUCCACCAAUAAAUGGGAGAAAUAUGACCUGGUUCAUUUAAUUUUGUGACUUCAGAACAUGGUCACUUUAUACUGUGACAUUAUUUGUGUGUGAUGCUGACAAUUUUCGAACCAAGGCAUGCGAAGUCUCCAUGUCAGCGUUUAUGGAGUCUCAUGACCCAAUAUGAAGUCUCCAUGUCAGUGUUUAUGGAUCCACAUCCCAUAAGUAGGGCUAGUUUGGGAACCUAUAGAGUAAAUUAAUGUGCCUAAUGAACCUACAAACUUGUAUUGCUAGUAUUUACUUCUUGAUUUGUUGAUAUUAUCUUCUUUCAUUGUUGUGUAUCCAUAUGGUAUUUACAUGCUUACCCAACUGUGUUGCAGUUUUACCAAAUUGGUCAUUGCAAAUAUAGAGAAUCUUGCAGAUUCAAUCACUCCAAAUCUGAGCCUGAAAACUCUCUCCAGCGACUUAACAUUCUCGGUUUUCUAGAAAGAUUGGUGAUUACUAAUUUAUCCUUGUAUAGCUUUUCAUACAAAGAGGUUCAAUUUAUGCUUUGCUCACUACUUUGUAAGUUACUAAAGUAUACUUCAUAUAUCAAUGGUGAAAUCAGCAUGACAGGAGGCAUUUCAUGUAUUUUUUUGAACAUACAUGUUAAUGGUAACGUGUCUAAGGCUGUGUUUUGUCUUUACUUGUUCCUAAUUUCGCUUUUUAAUAUUUCUGCUUAAAUAUGAAAUUUCGAGGCCUUAAACUUAUUGUAUUGUAAUCUAGGUUUUCUUUGACAUUUAUAUGUUUUACCUUCUUAUUGUGGGAUUCUUAAAUCAUUUUGUCAUUUUUUUUAGAUAAUCAAAAAAGAAAAUAUGAUUCUUAUGGAAGAUGUGAGUAGAGAUCUGCAAGUUCAGCAUGGCAAGUUUUAGUAUUUUAUUUCACCUUCAAUAUUUUAUAUUUUAGAAUUUAGUUAGUAAGUGUCACGAUUUGGGGUAUUUUAAUAAUUUCAUUUGGCAUUUUGAUGAGGCGGUAACUACAUAUUGUGAACUUUUCAUAGCUAGAUGUACAAACACAACUAAAUAUUUUGCAAGCCGAAAAGUGAUCGGAGAAAGUUGGUUGCACUUAAGUUCAUUGAAGCAGUAACUCUUUUAUAUACAGCUGAUCCAAGUGACUCUUCUGAACCACCUGAAGAUCAAACUUAUGGAGAGUUGCCAGAUGAAUUUAACACAACAUGGAUUCAUAGAGGGGGUCCCAUACUUAAUGUUAGUGAUUUAUCAAUUGAAGCAAGUAAGAACUUAGGUUUGUUGCUUGAUCAACUAAGGUAUCAAGUUAUGAAGCUACUAAGCAAUAUGGUGGUUAUUGUGCUAAUCAAGAGGUAUCUGAUCUUUGUCAUUCAAAUAUAUAUGCUAUAGUGCUUUCUAUAUUAGUAAUUUCUCAUUACGAUGUGUUGUUUCUUGUGCAAUUCUAUUUUUAGGAGAUAUUUUACUUUAUUAGAUGUUUAAAGUUACAGGACAUGAUUAUGGGCACAUCAUGGAACAUUUUACGGCAGUUGUUGGUUUUCCUCUUGGUGAUCCAUCAAUGAAGUGGCCAACUUGCAUCAUGUAAUAACAUUUUAGGGGAUGAUGUAGGUAUAUGUUUUUUAAUGAAUAAUGUAAUCAUAUGUAUGAAUAUGAAAUAAAGUUUGUUAUUUAGUAUGUGAUAAUCAUGUAUAGGGGAAAACAACUUCUAUUGACUUCUUUUAUCUUUCCAUGGAUCGAUUAUUUGUAUGACAUUAAAUUUUAUGCAAUGGAUUGUAUAUUUUGUA